RNAcentral lists this unclassified non-coding RNA (262 nucleotides) under Hevea brasiliensis (rubber tree). Lineage: Eukaryota; Viridiplantae; Streptophyta; Magnoliopsida; Malpighiales; Euphorbiaceae. The record is from RNAcentral.
GACAUGAGAAUGAAAAGGUAUGCUUUGAUCAAUGUUACAUUGCAGACAGAGAUGAAUGUGCAUACGUGCACACAUGCACGGAUAUUGUCUUAAACUCUUACAUAUGCUUUAGGCAUAUUGAUGUCACAUGGUCCUUUGUUUGUUCUGUAAAUGACAUAUGAUUCUGGUUUUACUUUGUUUCUUCUCAUGCCCGCUUUUGUUGUGUGGUUAGAAGAAUAUUUAUGUUUAUAAUUGUGGGAAAUAUUUUGCAUAUUGAAACAAA